This 406-nucleotide ribosomal RNA is filed under the name uncultured bacterium. RNAcentral's name for it is "partial 16S ribosomal RNA". It matches the Rfam family "Bacterial small subunit ribosomal RNA", at positions 28 to 526 of the family's 1533-position model. The record is from RNAcentral.
GACGAACGCUGGCGGCGUGCUUAACACAUGCAAGUCGAACGAGUGGCGAACGGGUGAGUAAUACGUGAGUAACCUGCCCUCUUUUUGGGUUAAGGCUUGGAAACGGGGUCUAAUAACGGAUAAAGGGGGAUGGGCUCGCGGCGUGUCGGCUUGUUGGUGGGGUGAUGGCGUACCAAUGCGGUGACGGGUAGCCGGCCUGAGAGGGUGACCGGCCACAGUGGCACUGAGAUACGGCCCAGAGUCCGCCGGGAGGCAGAAUUGGGGGAUAUGGCACAAUGGGCGAAAGCCUGAUGCAGCGAGGCCGCGUGGGGGAUGCAGGCUUUCGGGUUGUAAAGUUCUGUAGCUACCGAAAGGGUAGGUGGAGAAGAAGCGCCGGCUAACUACGUGCCAGCAGCCGCGGUAAUUC